UUAAGCGACUAAGCGUACACGGUGGAUGCCCUGGCAGUCAGAGGCGAUGAAGGACGUGCUAAUCUGCGAAAAGCGUCGGUAAGGUGAUAUGAACCGUUAUAACCGGCGAUGUCCGAAUGGGGAAACCCAGUGCAAUUCGUUGCACUAUCGUUAACUGAAUACAUAGGUUAACGAGGCGAACCGGGGGAACUGAAACAUCUAAGUACCCCGAGGAAAAGAAAUCAACCGAGAUUCCCCCAGUAGCGGCGAGCGAACGGGGAGCAGCCCAGAGUCUGAAUCAGCUUGUGUGUUAGUGGAACGGUCUGGAAAGUCCGACGGUACAGGGUGAUAGUCCCGUACACCAAAAUGCACAGGCUGUGAACUCGAAGAGUAGGGCGGGACACGUGGUAUCCUGUCUGAAUAUGGGGGGACCAUCCUCCAAGGCUAAAUACUCCUGACUGACCGAUAGUGAACCAGUACCGUGAGGGAAAGGCGAAAAGAACCCCGGCGAGGGGAGUGAAAAAGAACCUGAAACCGUGUACGUACAAGCAGUGGGAGCACCUUCGGGUGUGACUGCGUACCUUUUGUAUAAUGGGUCAGCGACUUAUAUUCUGUAGCAAGGUUAACCGUAUAGGGGAGCCGCAGGGAAACCGAGUCUUAACUGGGCGUUAAGUUGCAGGGUAUAGACCCGAAACCCGGUGAUCUAGCCAUGGGCAGGUUGAAGGUUGGGUAACACUAACUGGAGGACCGAACCGACUAAUGUUGAAAAAUUAGCGGAUGACUUGUGGCUGGGGGUGAAAGGCCAAUCAAACCGGGAGAUAGCUGGUUCUCCCCGAAAGCUAUUUAGGUAGCGCCUCGUGAAUUCAUCUUCGGGGGUAGAGCACUGUUUCGGCUAGGGGGUCAUCCCGACUUACCAACCCGAUGCAAACUACGAAUACCGAAGAAUGUUAUCACGGGAGACACACGGCGGGUGCUAACGUCCGUCGUGAAGAGGGAAACAACCCAGACCGCCAGCUAAGGUCCCAAAGUCAUGGUUAAGUGGGAAACGAUGUGGGAAGGCACAGACAGCCAGGAUGUUGGCUUAGAAGCAGCCAUCAUUUAAAGAAAGCGUAAUAGCUCACUGGUCGAGUCGGCCUGCGCGGAAGAUGUAACGGGGCUAAACCAUGCACCGAAGCUGCGGCAGCGACACUAUGUGUUGUUGGGUAGGGGAGCGUUCUGUAAGCCUGCGAAGGUGACCUGUGAGGGUUGCUGGAGGUAUCAGAAGUGCGAAUGCUGACAUAAGUAACGAUAAAGCGGGUGAAAAGCCCGCUCGCCGGAAGACCAAGGGUUCCUGUCCAACGUUAAUCGGGGCAGGGUGAGUCGACCCCUAAGGCGAGGCCGAAAGGCGUAGUCGAUGGGAAACAGGUUAAUAUUCCUGUACUUGGUGUUACUGCGAAGGGGGGACGGAGAAGGCUAUGUUAGCCGGGCGACGGUUGUCCCGGUUUAAGCAUGUAGGCUGAUUAUCCAGGCAAAUCCGGAUAAUCAAGGCUGAGGUGUGAUGACGAGGCACUACGGUGCUGAAGUAACAAAUGCCCUGCUUCCAGGAAAAGCCUCUAAGCAUCAGGUAACAUCAAAUCGUACCCCAAACCGACACAGGUGGUCAGGUAGAGAAUACCAAGGCGCUUGAGAGAACUCGGGUGAAGGAACUAGGCAAAAUGGUGCCGUAACUUCGGGAGAAGGCACGCUGGUGUGUAGGUGAAGUCCCUGCGGAUGGAGCUGAGACCAGUCGAAGAUACCAGCUGGCUGCAACUGUUUAUUAAAAACACAGCACUGUGCAAACACGAAAGUGGACGUAUACGGUGUGACGCCUGCCCGGUGCCGGAAGGUUAAUUGAUGGGGUUAUCCGUAAGGAGAAGCUCUUGAUCGAAGCCCCGGUAAACGGCGGCCGUAACUAUAACGGUCCUAAGGUAGCGAAAUUCCUUGUCGGGUAAGUUCCGACCUGCACGAAUGGCGUAAUGAUGGCCAGGCUGUCUCCACCCGAGACUCAGUGAAAUUGAACUCGCUGUGAAGAUGCAGUGUACCCGCGGCAAGACGGAAAGACCCCGUGAACCUUUACUAUAGCUUGACACUGAACAUUGAGCCUUGAUGUGUAGGAUAGGUGGGAGGCUUUGAAGCGUGGACGCCAGUCUGCGUGGAGCCAACCUUGAAAUACCACCCUUUAAUGUUUGAUGUUCUAACGUGGGCCCCUAAUCGGGGUUGCGGACAGUGUCUGGUGGGUAGUUUGACUGGGGCGGUCUCCUCCCAAAGCGUAACGGAGGAGCACGAAGGUUAGCUAAUCCUGGUCGGACAUCAGGAGGUUAGUGCAAUGGCAUAAGCUAGCUUGACUGCGAGCGUGACGGCGCGAGCAGGUGCGAAAGCAGGUCAUAGUGAUCCGGUGGUUCUGAAUGGAAGGGCCAUCGCUCAACGGAUAAAAGGUACUCCGGGGAUAACAGGCUGAUACCGCCCAAGAGUUCAUAUCGACGGCGGUGUUUGGCACCUCGAUGUCGGCUCAUCACAUCCUGGGGCUGAAGUAGGUCCCAAGGGUAUGGCUGUUCGCCAUUUAAAGUGGUACGCGAGCUGGGUUUAGAACGUCGUGAGACAGUUCGGUCCCUAUCUGCCGUGGGCGCUGGAGAAUUGAGGGGGGCUGCUCCUAGUACGAGAGGACCGGAGUGGACGCAUCACUGGUGUUCGGGUUGUCAUGCCAAUGGCACUGCCCGGUAGCUAAAUGCGGAAGAGAUAAGUGCUGAAAGCAUCUAAGCACGAAACUUGCCCCGAGAUGAGUUCUCCCUGAGACUUUAAGUCUCCUGAAGGAACGUUGAAGACGACGACGUUGAUAGGCCGGGUGUGUAAGCGCAGCGAUGCGUUGAGCUAACCGGUACUAAUGAACCGUGAGGCUUAACCU
This 2899-nucleotide ribosomal RNA is filed under the name Klebsiella quasipneumoniae. RNAcentral describes it as "23S ribosomal RNA". It matches the Rfam family "Bacterial large subunit ribosomal RNA". The record is from RNAcentral. Lineage: Bacteria; Pseudomonadati; Pseudomonadota; Gammaproteobacteria; Enterobacterales; Enterobacteriaceae.